GGUCUCUUAGUAUAAUGGUUAAUACUGCCGCCCUUCACGCGGUCAAUGCCAGUUCGAUUCUGGUAGAGGCUA
This is a transfer RNA of Rhizoctonia solani AG-1 IA, 72 nucleotides long. It matches the Rfam family "tRNA". From Rfam's summary of the family: Transfer RNA (tRNA) molecules are approximately 80 nucleotides in length. Their secondary structure includes four short double-helical elements and three loops (D, anti-codon, and T loops). NCBI's taxonomy places the organism in Eukaryota, Fungi, Basidiomycota, Agaricomycetes, Cantharellales, Ceratobasidiaceae. The record is from Rfam.